GAUGAACGCUGGCGGCGUGCCUAAUACAUGCAAGUCGAGCGAACAGACGAGGAGCUUGCUCCUCUGACGUUAGCGGCGGACGGGUGAGUAACACGUGGAUAACCUACCUAUAAGACUGGGAUAACUUCGGGAAACCGGAGCUAGUACCGGAUAAUAUAUUGAACCGCAUGGUUCAAUAGUGAAAGACGGUUUUGCUGUCACUUAUAGAUGGAUCCGCGCCGCAUUAGCUAGUUGGUAAGGUAACGGCUUACCAAGGCAACGAUGCGUAGCCGACCUGAGAGGGUGAUCGGCCACACUGGAACUGAGACACGGUCCAGACUCCUACGGGAGGCAGCAGUAGGGAAUCUUCCGCAAUGGGCGAAAGCCUGACGGAGCAACGCCGCGUGAGUGAUGAAGGUCUUCGGAUCGUAAAACUCUGUUAUUAGGGAAGAACAAAUGUGUAAGUAACUAUGCACGUCUUGACGGUACCGAAUCAGAAAGCCACGGCUAACUACGUG
This 497-nucleotide ribosomal RNA is filed under the name uncultured bacterium. RNAcentral's name for it is "partial 16S ribosomal RNA". It matches the Rfam family "Bacterial small subunit ribosomal RNA", at positions 28 to 507 of the family's 1533-position model. The record is from RNAcentral.